GACGAACGCUGGCGGCGUGCUUAACACAUGCAAGUCGAACGGAAAGGCCCUGCUUUUGUGGUAUGCUCGAGUGGCGAACGGGUGAGUAACACGUGAGUAAUCUGCCCGUGACUUUGGGAUAACUUCAGGAAACUGGGGCUAAUACCGGAUAGGAUCUCCUGCUGCAUGGUGGGGGUGGGAAAGUUUCGGCGGUUGGGGAUGGACUCGCGCCUUAUCAGCUUGUUGGUGGGGUAGUGGCUUACCAAGGCUUUGACGGGUAGCCGGCCUGAGAGGGUGACCGGCCACAUUGGGACUGAGAUACGGCCCAGCCUCCUACGGGAGGCAGAAGUGGGGAAUAUUGCACAAUGGGCGGAAGCCUGAUGCAGCAACGCCGCGUGCGGGAUGACGGCCUUCGGGUUGUAAACCGCUUUCGUCUGUGCCGAAGCGUGAGUGACGGUAAUGGGUAAAGAAGCACCGGCUAACUACGUG
This 468-nucleotide ribosomal RNA is filed under the name uncultured bacterium. RNAcentral describes it as "partial 16S ribosomal RNA". It matches the Rfam family "Bacterial small subunit ribosomal RNA", at positions 28 to 507 of the family's 1533-position model. The record is from RNAcentral.